GGGAGACCAGGAAAGUUCAAGUGGUGGUCAGGAGGUGCUGGAGGAACAAGAGGCAAGAAAAGCUGAGGCAUAUUUGGUUUCCAAAUUGUCAACAAAUGGAGCAGCUGCAGGAAAUUGAAAGAGCUGAAGCUGGAGUGAAAGGGUUGCACUGCUCCUUCAUUUCCAGAACCAAGGAAGGCUGCUGCAUGGAAUGUGGACCUCCCACAUACGGACCUGAUUUGAUGUCAAAGCUGGUAUAAGAAGCCAAGGGACACUUUCACCAGAAGGAGCAAGGAUUCUACGAAACGGAAGAUUUGUGAUGGUGCUGUUAAAGAGGAUAAAAGAAUACGUGUACCUACUCUAUAAGAAAUGUUAAGGAACUCCUUCCAGUAGAAGGACUAUAACACAGAUGGGAGUAAGGACUGACACAAAGAAAUAUAGAGCACCAGAAAUGAAACACAUUCCUAAAUCAUCCAACAUGUACUGACCAUCUACUGCACUUAUCCAGAUAGAGUUGAAGAGACAGUGAUACACAUGACUGUAUUAUGCAACAUAUCCUGUUAUAUAAAUGAUCUGUGCAUGAUGCAUCCUUCUAUUUUACACUCCCAGUGGAAGGUUGUGAUGUGCACCCAAAGCAUUUCUCUUGACUGACCAAGUUGAGCAUCAUUAUAGCGAGACACCACACUCUUCUUCUCCAGAGGAGCAGCAACGAGGUGCCAUCUUGGAAGUGGAGGUCCUGAUCAGACACCAAGCCUGUCCAUGACUUCAUCUUGGACCCCCAGUCUCCAGAGAGAGUUGUGAGAAGUCUAACACCAGGCUGGCUGUGAUCCUGCACCAACACUUGUCUCCUGAUUCAAGUAAUCAACAACCUGGGGUUCAUCAGUAGCUGGAAGGAGGACUUCGCUCCUCUGUACUUGUCAUCAAAGCCAGAGGAGCUCACUUUCCUCGGGGCAACAUCUGGCUGGAAUUUAUAUGGUCUCUUUUUUAAAGCUUAUCACAUGGAAUUGAUUUACUCAAGGAAACCAGCAUUUGGAAAAAAAAAAAAAAAAAACACAAGUAGAGUGGGAAUCUUUUGGAAAUCUGACCAAAUAUGCCAGAAAAAAGACAAGGCUCCAGGGAUGAAUUGUCCAAAUAAGUGGAUGACCAGAGGCAACCUACACUACCUGCUCAUUAUGCAGACAGGCCCUGGGAUAAAAGAAGUCCAACAAUGACAAAUGACAAAACAAAGUAACAUUUAAAAUGGAGCUUCAUGGCUUUAAAAUACUUUCAGUUGGUUUUUGUUGUUGGUGUUCGUCUUUGAAGAAGACUGGAUGAGUCAGUGAAGCAAUAACGAAAAACAAGAGGUUGGAAGUUUCCUCUUCUCUGUCUCAGACAAAUGAGUCAGAGCAAGCUCUCCACAUGAUGUUUGGGAAGAAAUCCAUGUCUUACGAUGUAUGUUAAAAGUGUAAACAUAAAAAUAAAG
This is a non-coding RNA of Microcebus murinus (gray mouse lemur), 1441 nucleotides long. Lineage: Eukaryota; Metazoa; Chordata; Mammalia; Primates; Cheirogaleidae. The record is from RefSeq and is a predicted model, not a curated record.